CACAUUCCAAGGCACACCCAGGAGAAUUAAUAAUAUAGAAGAUCAUGGAUUGCAAAAAGCUUAGCCCUAAGUGCCUUCUGGAUGUGUGGUAAGAUAUUUGGACUGGCCAGGCUUUUAGCGAUAUAUGAAUAUUCUAAUCUUUUAUAUACUAACAAGAAGUCAACGGGAAAGCAUGGAUUUCAGUGACCAAAGUGCUCGUGUGCAUAUAAGGAAUCCCUAAACUGGGCAUUUCAAGCCUGAACAGUGGAACUUACUCCCAGCAUUUUUCAGCAUACUAAGCAAAUGACCCCACUGCAUGCAGUACAAGCUUGCAGACUUACAAAAAGAAACACUGCUAUCCAGCAUCAUUUGUCAAUUCGAAGAGGGAGAUGUGGUGACCUUAUGGGGAUGCUUUCGAAUGCUUAAGAUGAUGGGUAGGCCUGUGGCAUUAGCAGAAUAUUCACAACAAAGCAGUCCUGUGUUCAGCACUUUUGGAAUAUCGGUUGGGAGUAUGCAGGAGUAGAGCGAUCCCCACUGCAAGUCAUCCAGGAUUUAGUCUUCAUGGAGACUGACAUACAGAGGCAGAGACAGACAGAGGCAAGAAGUCUGCAAGAGUAGGCACAUGGUCCAUAAGGUCCAGAGAGCUUAUUGACACCUUCAGGAAAAGGAACUGUGGGGCACAAACUAUGGUGGCAUUUUCAACAAACCAAGAACAACAAAGCUCUAAAUUUUCCAUAUUCAUA
Long non-coding RNA from Hemicordylus capensis (graceful crag lizard), 722 nucleotides. RefSeq lists it as uncharacterized. Lineage: Eukaryota; Metazoa; Chordata; Lepidosauria; Squamata; Cordylidae. The record is from RefSeq and is a predicted model, not a curated record. The transcript is spliced from 4 exons.